CGGCGGUAAGAUGGCUGCACUGGUGCUUGGAACCUCCGGUCGACUCCUGCGAAAGACAGCCGAAUAUCCCGCGGCUGGCGGGCUGGUUGCGGACAGAGUUGGCUGUUGGAACUGUUUACAUGGAGAGAAAGCCAAAUUAGGGAAGACAACUCCACAAGUACAAAGAGAAGAUGUUUUGUGUUUCUAUAAUGUGUUGUCAAAAAGUCAAACAAUGCAAGAAACAUUUUUAACAGUACUAGG
Molecule: long non-coding RNA, 240 nt
Filed under: Naja naja (Indian cobra)
Lineage: Eukaryota; Metazoa; Chordata; Lepidosauria; Squamata; Elapidae
Description: lncRNA (ENSNNAG00000002996.1)
Source: RNAcentral